ACACACACGUGGCUUCUAAGUAUUAUCCUAUUUGGUUUCCCAAGGAACCUUUAACAUCAUCAUCUCUCAGGACUUAACUCUUGCAGCAAUGCAAACUAAUUUAGCCAAUCACCGCCUACAUUGAACCGGGUUUUCCUAAAUACGUCACUACAAUCUUGUAGUUUGUAAAGUUCUUUUAUUUCUUUUUAAAACGAUUUAUGGACCACCAACGACUUAUCCAAU
Arabidopsis thaliana (thale cress) is the source of this 222-nucleotide long non-coding RNA. RefSeq annotates it as other RNA. The record is from RefSeq. The transcript has a single exon. NCBI's taxonomy places the organism in Eukaryota, Viridiplantae, Streptophyta, Magnoliopsida, Brassicales, Brassicaceae.